This 320-nucleotide non-coding RNA is filed under the name Brevibacillus borstelensis AK1. RNAcentral's name for it is "Bacterial large subunit ribosomal RNA". It matches the Rfam family "Bacterial large subunit ribosomal RNA", at positions 2607 to 2925 of the family's 2925-position model. Lineage: Bacteria; Bacillati; Bacillota; Bacilli; Caryophanales; Paenibacillaceae. The record is from Rfam by way of RNAcentral.
GGGUUCAGAACGUCGUGAGACAGUUCGGUCCCUAUCUGUCGCGGGCGCAGGAAGUUUGAGGAGAGCUGUCCUUAGUACGAGAGGACCGGGAUGGACGCACCGCUGGUGCACCAGUUGUCACGCCAGUGGCACAGCUGGGUAGCUAUGUGCGGAAGGGAUAAGCGCUGAAAGCAUCUAAGCGUGAAGCCCCCUCCAAGAUGAGACUUCCCACAGCGUUAAGCUGGUAAGACCCCUCAUAGACGAUGAGGUUGAUAGGUUCGGUGUGGAAGCGCGGCAACGCGUGGAGCUGACGAAUACUAAUCGGUCGAGGACUUAUCCAC